Molecule: ribosomal RNA, 460 nt
Filed under: uncultured bacterium
Lineage: Bacteria
Description: partial 16S ribosomal RNA
Rfam family: Bacterial small subunit ribosomal RNA
Source: RNAcentral
CCUACGGGAGGCAGCAGUGAGGAAUAUUGGUCAAUGGACGAGAGUCUGAACCAGCCAAGUAGCGUGAAGGAUGACUGCCCUAUGGGUUGUAAACUUCUUUUAUAUGGGAAUAAAACAGGGUAUGCAUACCAUCUUGUAUGUGCCAUAUGAAUAAGGAUCGGCUAACUCCGUGACAGCAGCCGCGGUAAUACGGCGGGUCCGAGAGUUAUCCGGAUUUAUUGGGUUUAAAGGGAGAUUAGGUGGAUUGUUAAGUCAGUUGUGAAAGUUUGCGGCUCAACCGUAAAAGUGCAGUUGAAACUGGCAGUCUUGAGUACAGUAGAGGUGAGCGGAAUUCGGGGUGUAGCGGUGAAAUGCUUAGAUAUCACGAAGAACUCCGAUUGCGAAGGCAGCUCACUGGACUGCAACUGACACUGAUGCUCGAAAGUGUGGGUAUCAAACAGGAUUAGAUACCCCAGUAGUC